Molecule: long non-coding RNA, 347 nt
Organism: Neltuma alba
Lineage: Eukaryota; Viridiplantae; Streptophyta; Magnoliopsida; Fabales; Fabaceae
Exons: 2
Source: RefSeq, a predicted model, not a curated record
CUAUUCUAGCCCUAGUCCUUCACGGCUACUCAAAUUUUAAUUUCAAAUUGAAGGUUUUCUUCUCAAAGGAAGUGGGGGAAAGAGCUGCAUUUCUAUUUAUGAAGAUGUAGCAGUUACAACUGCAAGGGUGCUUAUGACAAUGAGAGGUUGACAGAAGAAUAGCAUCAGAAAUACAAUGAGGCUUGUUGCUUAGUGCUUGGUCUUUCCUACAAAUACUGGUGACAGCAUCAUCAAGUUGAUUUCUUGCAUCUUACAGCAGAAGAAUGUUUUCAUCUUACAGUCUGUGUUUCUUAAAAACAGAGUGUAUUAUGUAACUCAUUAUGUGAAGCAACAUUGGUUUCAUCCAA